This 80-nucleotide non-coding RNA is filed under the name uncultured Commensalibacter sp. RNAcentral's name for it is "TPP riboswitch (THI element)". The stretch from base 5 to 72 matches the Rfam family "TPP riboswitch aptamer (THI element)", at positions 10 to 89 of the family's 105-position model. Rfam says of the family: Vitamin B(1) in its active form thiamin pyrophosphate (TPP) is an essential coenzyme that is synthesised by coupling of pyrimidine and thiazole moieties in bacteria. Lineage: Bacteria; Pseudomonadati; Pseudomonadota; Alphaproteobacteria; Acetobacterales; Acetobacteraceae. The record is from RNAcentral.
AUCACCGGGGUGUCCGUUAGGGGCUGAGAAUAAACCCGUAGAACCUGAUCUGGGUCAUGCCAGCGAAGGGAGGAACUUAA